GACGAACCACACAAACGUUAUUCGGAAUUACUGGGCUUAAAGGGUGCGUAGGCUGCGCGGAAAGUUGGGUGUGAAAUCCCUCGGCUCAACCGAGGAACUGCGCCCAAAACUACCGUGCUCGAGGAGGAUAGAGGUGAGCGGAACUUACGGUGGAGCGGUGAAAUGCGUUGAUAUCGUAAGGAACACCCGUGGCGAAAGCGGCUCACUGGGUCUUUUCUGACGCUGAUGCACGAAAGCUAGGGGAGCAAACGGG
This 253-nucleotide ribosomal RNA is filed under the name uncultured bacterium. Its description in RNAcentral is "partial 16S ribosomal RNA". It matches the Rfam family "Bacterial small subunit ribosomal RNA", at positions 524 to 776 of the family's 1533-position model. The record is from RNAcentral.